RNAcentral lists this ribosomal RNA (186 nucleotides) under uncultured Methanosaeta sp. RNAcentral describes it as "partial 16S ribosomal RNA". It matches the Rfam family "Archaeal small subunit ribosomal RNA", at positions 1153 to 1338 of the family's 1478-position model. The record is from RNAcentral. Lineage: Archaea; Methanobacteriati; Methanobacteriota; Methanomicrobia; Methanotrichales; Methanotrichaceae.
GACCCGUAAUAUCCGGGCUACACGCGAGCUACAAUGGUUGGUACAAUGGGUAUCUACCCCGAAAGGGGACGGGAAUCUCCUAAAACCAAUCUUAGUUCGGAUUGAGGGCUGCAACUCGCCCUCAUGAAGCUGGAAUCCGUAGUAAUCGCGUUUCAACAGAACGCGGUGAAUACGUCCCUGCUCCUU